RNAcentral lists this ribosomal RNA (253 nucleotides) under uncultured bacterium. Its description in RNAcentral is "partial 16S ribosomal RNA". It matches the Rfam family "Bacterial small subunit ribosomal RNA", at positions 524 to 776 of the family's 1533-position model. The record is from RNAcentral.
UACGUAGGGUGCAAGCGUUAAUCGGAAUUACUGGGCGUAAAGCGUGCGCAGGCGGUUUGUUAAGUUGGAUGUGAAAUCCCCGGGCUCAACCUGGGAACUGCAUCCAAAACUGGCAAGCUAGAGUAUGGUAGAGGGUGGUGGAAUUUCCUGUGUAGCGGUGAAAUGCGUAGAUAUAGGAAGGAACACCAGUGGCGAAGGCGACCACCUGGACUGAUACUGACACUGAGGCGCGAAAGCUAGGGGAGCAAACGGG